RNAcentral lists this microRNA (22 nucleotides) under Pristionchus pacificus. RNAcentral's name for it is "ppc-miR-37". Its record names the gene ppc-miR-37. Lineage: Eukaryota; Metazoa; Nematoda; Chromadorea; Rhabditida; Neodiplogasteridae. The record is from miRBase by way of RNAcentral.
UCACCGGGUGAACAGAAGCUGU